GACGAACGCUGGCGGCGUGCCUAAUACAUGCAAGUUGAGCGCUGAAGGUUGGUACUUGUACCCACUGGAUGAGCAGCGAACGGGUGAGUAACGCGUGGGGAAUCUGCCUUUGAGCGGGGGACAACAUUUGGAAACGAAUGCUAAUACCGCAUAAAAACUUUAAACACAAGUUUUAAGUUUGAAAGAUGCAAUUGCAUCACUCAAAGAUGAUCCCGCGUUGUAUUAGCUAGUUGGUGAGGUAAAGGCUCACCAAGGCGAUGAUACAUAGCCGACCUGAGAGGGUGAUCGGCCACAUUGGGACUGAGACACGGCCCAAACGCCUACGGGAGGCAGCAGGAGGGAAUCUUCGGAAAUGGACGAAAGUCUGACCGAGCAACGCCGCGUGAGUGAAGAAGGUUUUCGGAUCGUAAAACUCUGUUGGUAGAGAAGAACGUUGGUGAGAGUGGAAAGCUCAUCAAGUGACGGUAACUACACAGAAAGGGACGGCUAACUACGUG
RNAcentral lists this ribosomal RNA (497 nucleotides) under uncultured bacterium. RNAcentral describes it as "partial 16S ribosomal RNA". It matches the Rfam family "Bacterial small subunit ribosomal RNA", at positions 28 to 507 of the family's 1533-position model. The record is from RNAcentral.